CUCCGAUCUUUGGUGCAGUGAAAAAAAGACGAUCUAUUUUAUCUACAGUUCCUAUUUCACAUUACCUCUUGUUUCCAAAUGCUUUUAACAGCCAUAGGAGAUAACAGUUAAGAUAAUGCAGUCGUAAAAGAGAAAUGUUUAAAUCCCUUAAAGGCACAGACUUUCUUUCUAUUCAAUUUUAUCAGCCCGUGUAUUCUAAACUUUUUCACCAGGGAUAUCAUAC
This is a non-coding RNA of Pelobates cultripes (western spadefoot toad), 223 nucleotides long. Lineage: Eukaryota; Metazoa; Chordata; Amphibia; Anura; Pelobatidae. The record is from the annotation of a GenBank genome assembly.